RNAcentral lists this ribosomal RNA (253 nucleotides) under uncultured bacterium. Its description in RNAcentral is "partial 16S ribosomal RNA". It matches the Rfam family "Bacterial small subunit ribosomal RNA", at positions 524 to 776 of the family's 1533-position model. The record is from RNAcentral.
UACGGGGGGGGCAAGCGUUGUUCGGAAUUACUGGGCGUAAAGAGCUUGUAGGCGGUUUGGCGCGUCUGGUGUGAAAUUUCGGGGCUCAACCCCGAACUUGCAGUGGGUACGGGCAGACUAGAGUGUGGUAGGGGAGACUGGAAUUCCUGGUGUAGCGGUGAAAUGCGCAGAUAUCAGGAGGAACACCGGUGGCGAAGGCGGCUCUCUGGACGGUGACUGACGCUGAGACGCGAAAGCGUGGGGAGCAAACAGG